UACGGAGGGUGCAAGCGUUAUCCGGAUUCACUGGGCUUAAAGGGUGCGUAGGCGGGCAGGUAAGUCAGUGGUGAAAUCCCCGAGCUCAACUUGGGAAUUGCCGUUGAUACUAUCUGUCUUGAAUAUCGUGGAGGUGAGCGGAAUAUGUCAUGUAGCGGUGAAAUGCUUAGAUAUGACAUAGAACACCCAUUGCGAAGGCAGCUCACUACACGAUAAUUGACGCUGAGGCACGAAAGCGUGGGGAGCAAACAGG
Molecule: ribosomal RNA, 253 nt
Filed under: uncultured bacterium
Lineage: Bacteria
Description: partial 16S ribosomal RNA
Rfam family: Bacterial small subunit ribosomal RNA
Source: RNAcentral